RNAcentral lists this ribosomal RNA (157 nucleotides) under Phoma haematocycla. RNAcentral describes it as "5.8S ribosomal RNA". It matches the Rfam family "5.8S ribosomal RNA". Rfam says of the family: 5.8S ribosomal RNA (5.8S rRNA) is a component of the large subunit of the eukaryotic ribosome. It is transcribed by RNA polymerase I as part of the 45S precursor that also contains 18S and 28S rRNA. Functionally, it is thought that 5.8S rRNA may be involved in ribosome translocation. The record is from RNAcentral. Lineage: Eukaryota; Fungi; Ascomycota; Dothideomycetes; Pleosporales; Didymellaceae.
ACUUUCAACAACGGAUCUCUUGGUUCUGGCAUCGAUGAAGAACGCAGCGAAAUGCGAUAAGUAGUGUGAAUUGCAGAAUUCAGUGAAUCAUCGAAUCUUUGAACGCACAUUGCGCCCCUUGGUAUUCCAUGGGGCAUGCUUGUUCGAGCGUCAUUUG